GACAGAGGGUGCAAACGUUGUUCGGAAUUACUGGGCGUAAAGCGUGUGUAGGUGGCUGCGAAAGUCGGAUGUGAAAGCCCUGGGCUCAACUCAGGAAGUGCACCCGAUACUGCGUAGCUAGAGUACCGGAGAGGUUGGUGGAAUUCUCGGUGUAGAGGUGAAAUUCGUAGAUAUCGAGAGGAACACCUGUGGCGAAGGCGGCCAACUGGACGAGUACUGACACUGAGACACGAAAGCGUGGGGAGCAAACAGG
Molecule: ribosomal RNA, 253 nt
Filed under: uncultured bacterium
Lineage: Bacteria
Description: partial 16S ribosomal RNA
Rfam family: Bacterial small subunit ribosomal RNA
Source: RNAcentral